Molecule: ribosomal RNA, 200 nt
Filed under: uncultured bacterium
Lineage: Bacteria
Description: partial 16S ribosomal RNA
Rfam family: Bacterial small subunit ribosomal RNA
Source: RNAcentral
AUUGAACGCUGGCGGCAUGCUUUACACAUGCAAGUCGAACGGCAGCACGGGAGCUUGCUCCUGGUGGCGAGUGGCGAACGGGUGAGUAAUGCACCGGAACGUACCCAGUAAUGGGGGAUAACACAUCGAAAGAUGUGCUAAUACCGGAUGUGCCCUUACGGGGAAAGAUUUAUCGCCGAAAGAUCGGCCCGCGUCUGAUU